GCCAGGGAGCCCCGGCCGGGACCGUAAUCGUGGGAAAGGUGUGGGGGGUUAGAAGGGGAGCGCUUGGGUCGAGUGUGCCCGAGACCAGGCGCGUACACGUGUCCGUGUGUGCAUGUGUGUGCGUGCGUGCGUGCGUGUGUGUGUGUGUGUGUGCACGCAAGGAGCCGGGGGACCAGCGGAGCCUACCAUGCGCUUCCCCUGGUGCGGAUCGCGGGAGAGCCCAAUCACAGGGCCAGCUGGACCGCGCUGUGAUCGUUUAUAAUCCUUGACUCCUCCGCUCCGCCACUUGUCAAGAUGACAGGAAAACCCUAUGUACAAAUGGUCCAUGUUGAGGCAAGAGUCAAAGUGUGGAGUUCCUGGCUUGCUUGCACUCAGAUUCUGUUCUGAUCUCUGCUUAGAAAAGAUUUGGUUUGUAAUUCCCUGAAAUGGAAGGUGGUUAAUGAAGAAGUUCCUAAAUGGUCAACAUGCUGAAAAUAAGUGUUGGAGAGGCUUAACUGAGGGGAGAACACCAAUCCUGAAGAUGGGUGACACUAUUGCAAGGACUGGAGUCCUGAACCAAACAAAAAGCAGAAGGUGCACAGGGCACCAGCAUUCAUCUAUCUGCAUCUCUUGACUCCAGACGCAGUGUGACCGGCUGCCUCACAGUCCUGCAACCAUGUCUCCUGUUCUUAGAUAGACUGCACACUUAGACUGUGGCCAAACCAAACCCACUUUAAGUUUCUUUUGUUAGGUAUUUUGUCACAAUAAUGAAAAAAGUAACUAAUACAGCCUUCUUUCUUCUCUGUAAGUAGUCUUCUCUCACUUUGGGAAAAUAUACACCAUGACCUCCAGUGGAUGCUUGAAAACACACAUUCUUGUGGUAAAAUGAAGCUUAUAGAUGAGUCACAGUAACAACAAUAAUAUCUAAUAAUAAAAAUAAUUAAUAUACUACAAUAAAUUACUCAAAAAUUAAAUUAUAACUUUCUAUUUAAUAUUUUCAUGUUCAAUUGAUGAUGAGUAACGGAGAAAAAACUACUGCAGUUUUCAAAAGCAUCUGUAGAAUGUUCUGGGAAUGGAAAGUCCUGAGAUAAGUGAGAACUGGCUAAAAGAGUUGGGCUCUGUUCCCACCUCCUCUAGAAACAAGAUAUCUAUAACAGUUUAGGUUGAUUGUCAACAUGAGAACAGCAUCUGGAAACUAGCCUCUGGGCAUGCCUAUGGGGGAUUAUCUUGAUUAGGGUAAUUGAGGUGGGAAGACCCAACUUAAAUGUGGGCAGCACUAUUCAAUACAGUAGGCUCCUGGUCUGUAUAAAAAAGAGAGAGCUGUCUAUUCAUGGCUCUCUGGUUCCUUACUGUGGACUUAAUGUGACCAGUUUCCUCAGGCUCCUGCUGCCAUGCCUUCCCCAUCAUCAUGGACUUCAAGUCCAGAUAGAAUAUUCUUGUUUAAGUUGUUUCAUCAGAUAUUUUAUUGUAGCAAUAAAUGUGAGUUCCAUGACAUUGAGGAAUGCAACCUAGAGUGGGCUAUGUUACCAGUCCUUCAUCUGAGUUGCACCUGGAAUAUGUGCAGAUGGGACUGUGUCCUGCCCAGGUAGGUUUGCUGAGCUUCAGGGAACAGUUCAUUCUGAGUUCUUCCUUCUAUUGUUCCUUGCUGCCUAAUUGUAAGUAACAAAUCCACUUUAUGGAAAUUGUGUUAAAAGUAUUCUGCCUCAUUCAACUCAAACAACUAGAAACCAAUGCAGACUACAAUCUUUUUUUUUUUAAUAUUUUUUGUUCAUUUUUUAUUGAU
Long non-coding RNA from Jaculus jaculus (lesser Egyptian jerboa), 1762 nucleotides. RefSeq lists it as uncharacterized. Lineage: Eukaryota; Metazoa; Chordata; Mammalia; Rodentia; Dipodidae. The transcript has 4 exons. The record is from RefSeq and is a predicted model, not a curated record.